This 492-nucleotide ribosomal RNA is filed under the name uncultured soil bacterium. RNAcentral describes it as "bacterial SSU rRNA". It matches the Rfam family "Bacterial small subunit ribosomal RNA", at positions 26 to 523 of the family's 1533-position model. The record is from RNAcentral.
AGAUUGAACGCUGGCGGCAUGCUUUACACAUGCAAGUCGAGCGGCAGCGCGGGGCAACCUGGCGGCGAGCGGCGAACGGGUGAGUAAUAGAUAGGAACGUGUCCGGGAGUGGGGGAUAACUAGCCGAAAGGUUAGCUAGUACCGCAUAUUCUCCAAGGAGGAAAGCGGGGGACCAGAAAUGGCCUCGCGCUCGCGGAGUGGCCUAUCUCCGAUUAGCUAGUUGGUGAGGUAAAGGCUCACCAAGGCGACGAUCGGUAGCUGGUCUGAGAGGAUGAUCAGCCACACUGGGACUGAGACACGGCCCAGACUCCUACGGGAGGCAGCAGUGGGGAAUUUUGGACAAUGGGGGCAACCCUGAUCCAGCCAUGCCGCGUGCGGGAAGAAGGCCUUCGGUUGUAAACCGCUUUAUCGGAAGAAGGAGUGGAGGUAAUACUUCAUGACGGACGUACCGGAUGAAUAAGCACGCUAACUACGUGCCAGCAGCCGCGGUAA